This 432-nucleotide ribosomal RNA is filed under the name uncultured bacterium. RNAcentral describes it as "partial 16S ribosomal RNA". It matches the Rfam family "Bacterial small subunit ribosomal RNA", at positions 29 to 506 of the family's 1533-position model. The record is from RNAcentral.
AACGAACGCUGGCGGCAUGCCUAACACAUGCAAGUCGAACGAGACCUUCGGGUCUAGUGGCGCACGGGUGCGUAACGCGUGGGAACCUGCCCUUAGGUUCGGAAUAACUCCCCGAAAGGGGUGCUAAUACCGGAUAAUGUCUUCGGACCAAAGAUUUAUCGCCUUUGGAUGGGCCCGCGUUGGAUUAGCUAGUUGGUAGGGUAAAAGCCUACCAAGGCGACGAUCCAUAGCUGGUCUGAGAGGAUGAUCAGCCACACUGGGACUGAGACACGGCCCAGACUCCUACGGGAGGCAGCAUGGGGAAAUUUUGGAAAAUGGGCAAAAGCCUGACCCAGCAAUGCCCGGUGGGUGAUGAAGGCCUUAGGUUUGUAAAGCUUUUUUCCCCGGGAUGAUAAUGACAGUACCGGGAGAAAAAGCCCCGGCUAACUCCGU